RNAcentral lists this long non-coding RNA (1320 nucleotides) under Salmo salar (Atlantic salmon). RNAcentral's name for it is "lncRNA (ENSSSAG00000121710.1)". The stretch from base 805 to 850 matches the Rfam family "Histone 3' UTR stem-loop". Lineage: Eukaryota; Metazoa; Chordata; Actinopteri; Salmoniformes; Salmonidae. The record is from RNAcentral.
GUGAAGUUUAACUCUGCAACUCGAACAAAUUCUUAUUUACAUUGACGGCCUACCCCUGUUUCCAGUUGUCCACAUGGCUGGAAGAACCUAUUCAAGUAGCUAGCUAACAGCCAUGGAGGAGGGUGAAAGGAUAGCAGCCCCAACUGUCAGUGAGAGAGGAGGCUAUUCUGGCUGGGCAGGUACUUUUGUGUAGUUCCUGUCCCUAGAAGUGAGGACGGAGAUAAUUGUAACAUAAUAUUCAGUGUGGUGUAAUUUGACUAUAAUGAAGUCUGUUUCUUGUGAGGAUUUCUGUCCUCAGAUAAAGAGCUCUGUGAAAGCCAGUCUACAUAUGAAGAGGUCCCAAUGAAGAGCAGUGGUUCUCAGUCCUGGGGACUUAAAGAGGGGCACAUUGUUGUUUUUGCCUUCACACUGCACAGCUGAUUCAAAUGAUUCAAACUCAUCAUCAAGCUUCAAGUGAGACCUUGUAACUGGAGAUUCCUUCAGAACGAUUGCCUACAGUUACCGUGUAGGGCACUGCAAGGUUGGGUGACCAGGGUCAUCUGGGACUGCCUCCUGGAGGAAUUCAGGUGUGUGAAGGCUACCUGUGUCCUGCGUAACUUCAUGAGGAUGGACACGAGGACCAGGAGGGGAUCUGCAGCUCGCCGCCGUGUGCCAGAGGAGGAGUCUGCUGCUCUGCAGGAAGUUUCAAGGAUGGGGUCCAACAACGCAGCAAGAGAGGCAAUCCGUGUGCAGGAGAUCUUCACCUCCUACUUCUUCAAAGAGGGUGCUGUUCCCUGACAACACCAUAGACGUCACUAUGCACAACCAAAAGCUCUUUUAAGAGCCAUUCACAUUGCAAUAAGAGUAUUCUUCCAUUUACUGAGCUAUGUCAACUGCAGUUAUUCAAUUCACAGUUUAUCUCCCUUUGAUUUCUACUUCUCAGGUGAGGGUGCUGUGUAGGUAAGAGUGUGAUGUCUGUGCAAAAACAAAACAGGCUAUUUUAAAUCACCCAUAUUUAAAAAAUGUAGAACAAUUAGACACCCUAUAACCCACACCUACACACUCAUGUAUCAAUCUGAUUGAUGGAUUGUGUUGUGCAGUAAACAGGCUCAGGUGUAUAACUGUGGCUCCUUCCACCUUCAAAGAAUAGGCAAGAGGGCCAACCAUGGAGAAUAGUAAGACACUUCAUUAUUUCUAUAACUACGCUGUAUUGUUUGUCCUUGUGUGUCCGUUCAUGUUUUUCAGCAUAAAGUACUCUGCAGCCACUUAGUGUGGUGUGGACACCAGGUUAUAUCAGCUGUGUCGACGAACCCCUCCUGCAUCUGAACUGGCUACAUAGAG